This 448-nucleotide ribosomal RNA is filed under the name uncultured bacterium. RNAcentral describes it as "bacterial SSU rRNA". It matches the Rfam family "Bacterial small subunit ribosomal RNA", at positions 28 to 496 of the family's 1533-position model. The record is from RNAcentral.
GAUGAACGCUGGCGGCGCGCCUAACACAUGCAAGUCGAACGGCACCUAUCUUCGGAUAGAAGCGAGUGGCGAACGGCUGAGUAACACGUGGAGAACCUGCCCCCUCCCCCGGGAUAGCCGCCCGAAAGGACGGGUAAUACCGGAUACCCCGGGGUGCCGCAUGGCACCCCGGCUAAAGCCCCGACGGGAGGGGAUGGCUCCGCGGCCCAUCAGGUAGACGGCGGGGUGACGGCCCACCGUGCCGACAACGGGUAGCCGGGUUGAGAGACCGACCGGCCAGAUUGGGACUGAGACACGGCCCAGACUCCUACGGGAGGCAGCAGUGGGGAAUCUUGCGCAAUGGGGGGAACCCUGACGCAGCGACGCCGCGUGCGGGACGGAGGCCUUCGGGUCAUAAACCGCUUUCAGCAGGGAAGAGUCAAGACUGUACCUGCAGAAGAAGCCCCGG